GACGAACGCUGGCGGCGUGCUUAACACAUGCAAGUCGAACGGAAAGGCCUCUUUCGGGGGGUACUCGAGUGGCGAACGGGUGAGUAACACGUGAGUAACCUGCCCUUGACUUUGGGAUAACUUCAGGAAACUGGGGCUAAUACCGGAUAGGAGCUCCUGCUGCAUGGUGGGGGGUUGGAAAGUUUCGGCGGUUGGGGAUGGACUCGCGGCUUAUCAGCUUGUUGGUGUGGUAGUGGCUUACCAAGGCUUUGACGGGUAGCCGGCCUGAGAGGGUGACCGGCCACAUUGGGACUGAGAUACGGCCCAGACUCCUACGGGAGGCAGCAUGGGGGAAUAUUGC
RNAcentral lists this ribosomal RNA (340 nucleotides) under uncultured bacterium. Its description in RNAcentral is "bacterial SSU rRNA". It matches the Rfam family "Bacterial small subunit ribosomal RNA", at positions 28 to 367 of the family's 1533-position model. The record is from RNAcentral.